AGGUACAGAGGAUAAGACGGUACAACGUUGCGUGUGUGUUGAUACUACCAGUCAUUACCCCAAUCUUUGCUUCUUCCAGAUUCAGGCUUUGUCGCUCCAUCGAGGACAAAUGCCAGUACAAGUUAUGCCUGAUGACCAUAGCAAGUUGGUCCCACCCCUUCCCAUCCCGAACAGGACCGUGAAACAACUUUGCGCCGAUGAUAGUGCUGCAACCAGUGUGAAAGUAGGUUAUCGUCAGGC
Molecule: ribosomal RNA, 240 nt
Filed under: Janthinobacterium lividum
Lineage: Bacteria; Pseudomonadati; Pseudomonadota; Betaproteobacteria; Burkholderiales; Oxalobacteraceae
Source: RNAcentral